Long non-coding RNA from Mesocricetus auratus (golden hamster), 1772 nucleotides. RefSeq lists it as uncharacterized. The record is from RefSeq and is a predicted model, not a curated record. Lineage: Eukaryota; Metazoa; Chordata; Mammalia; Rodentia; Cricetidae. The transcript has 5 exons.
UCCACCCUCUAAGGUUCCAUAACCUUCCUAGAUGGCACCAUCAGCUCGGGACCAAGUGUCCAAACAUAGGAGUCCAUGGAGGACACUUUCAUAUCCAAAUACCACCAUCCAAUAGAAAGGCCACUUAAAAAAAACAGAAGAGUACUACUUACGGCUUAAAAAAAUCGCUCCUUAUCUACCAAGUGAUUCAGGCGGAAGCAAACAUCACUGCCUGGCUCACCACAGACUCAGAAUAAACAGCCCUGCAAACUGCUCAUGGUGAAGAGUGGGGCCACAGUCAUGCUGGACGCGCAUUUCAUCCACGUAGACUGAGGAUUUUUAUGGUUCGGGGUUGAAAUCUGAACACAUUUAUGUGUAACAGGAACUGAAACAAACAAUGGGUCUGAGAAAUCAGCUUAAAUGAAGGAAAGACUAUUUUGGCUCAUGGUUUCAGAGCUCUAGCGUUUGUCCAGUCUGCCUGGCGCCCUGCUCUUCUCUGUGAUCACACACCUUGGGAAGCAGUCUUUCCCCAGAUCCAAGUGUCUCCUGUCACUCGCAGAACCCACACACCUGCUAGAGACCCCAAGCUUGUCAGCAUAAGCAGGAAAAUCAACAGAAAAAUACCUCAAGGCACACUUCUGCAAAAUGGCAAAGAGAACCCUAAGUUGAAGAAGAAAGGACUUAAAAUGAAAAUACUGAGGACCUUCCCAUAUCCACGCUGUACCACGGAAGUGUCUAUAAAUGCAGGAGGCUGAAGUGAACAACAAAAUCAAUUGUCCCGAGGUGACCUUGUACUAUCACAUGUUCAGUGUGCAGCGCUCAUCGUGUCCAGGUGCCACACGCACAGCUCCGGGUUGGUAGCAUCCCGUUAGCAACUGUCUCAUUGCUAUGAGAAAGAUAACUGACAAGAAGUAACUCAAGGGUGAAGGGUCUGUUGUGACUCCCAGCCGUGGGAGCCGCUGGCCCGAGCACAAGAGACUGCUCAAGUAGCUUGCCUCCCCUUCUUUCUUCAGUUUCAGACCCAGCCCGAGGGACAGUACCAUUCACAUUUAGUGUCGUCCUCAGUAAAAGUUCUCUGGAAAUGCCCUCAAAUACACGCCCAGAGAUGUGUCUCCUAGGUGGUUAAAAAGUCAUCGAAUUGACAAUAGGACCAUCACACUCUUGCCAUUUCCACAGUGGGAAAACUGAGGAGAUAACCAGAGUGGUCCAUCUGAGAGGAAAUGAUGUCUGUGGGGAAUAAGCAGACUGGCCCAUCUGAGAGGAAAUAUUUAGAACACUGCCUGCCACUGCACGCCAGCUGCCUCAGUUUCUCACUCAGGUCUCUGCACGGCGCCGGACAGUAGCUGCCAUCAGUGCACUUCUGCAGAUAAGGGGAUCGAUUGGUAGACACGGAAAACAACUUUCGCAACCCAUUUGUCCUGUUCAUGACAGAGCUGGCAGUUACAUCAACACCCAGCUAGGUCAAUCCCUCUGCCCUGACCAGGCCAGAGGCCCAGCACUGUAGAACCACUGGUGAGGGCAAAGGGAGAGGAUUAUUGAACGUAGAAAAAUGGAGCACAGAUCUGAAGAAAUGAAACCCCACAAAUAUUACUCUUUAGUACAGCAAACCAAAGAAACCUUCGAAAAGGUAUCUUAGAGAUUGGUCUCUCCAGUGCACGAAUGGGCUUUCUGGAGCCCAUUCCCUGUGGAGGGACACCACCUUGCUCAAUACAGGGGGGAGAGGCCUGGUCCUGCCUCAACUUGAUAUGCCAGACUUCGUUGACUCCCCAUGGGAGGCCUCACCCCUACUCAGG